AUACGUAGGGGGCAAGCGUUAUCCGGAAUCACUGGGCGUAAAGGGUGCGUAGGCGGCUGAUCAAGCCAGGGGUGAAAGGCAAUAGCUUAACUAUUGUAAGCCUUUGGAACUGGUCAGCUUGAGUGCAGGAGAGGAAAGCGGAAUUCCUAGUGUAGCGGUGAAAUGCGUAGAUAUUAGGAGGAACACCCGUGGCGAAGGCGGCUUUCUGGACUGUAACUGACGCUGAGGCACGAAAGCGUGGGGAGC
Molecule: ribosomal RNA, 246 nt
Filed under: uncultured bacterium
Lineage: Bacteria
Description: partial 16S ribosomal RNA
Rfam family: Bacterial small subunit ribosomal RNA
Source: RNAcentral